RNAcentral lists this long non-coding RNA (682 nucleotides) under Anthonomus grandis grandis. Its description in RNAcentral is "uncharacterized LOC126734364". The record is from RNAcentral. Lineage: Eukaryota; Metazoa; Arthropoda; Insecta; Coleoptera; Curculionidae.
UUACAAUAAUAUAUAUAGUAAUUGGCACCACAUAUUAAUUUAUUACUGUAAUUUUUUUCUGCUUUUUGAUUAAAUAUCAAAUACUUAUUAUAGAUUGCCCAAUGAUUAUGCCCAAAGGGAACAAUGGGUUUCAUUAAUGGAAAUAAACACAUUUAAAAAGAACAUAUUUUUUGUUCAGAUCACAUCCUUAGAAGUGAUAUAAGGGAGAUAAUAUUAUCAGUAGCCAGACUUUAUUAAAAAAAUCAGCUCUACCUCAAAGGAUUUCUGAUGCACUGGUUAAAAACACAGCAGCCAAUAAUUCAGUUAAUUUACCAAGUGAUUUACCCUUCAAAGCUACAGGGGUAGCUUUCCUGAAGAGUGCAAAAACUUCUUUAGCUUUCAAAAUGGUAUAUAGUACAAACAGUGAAGCUAAUAUAGACACAUCUGAUCAUUCAUCAUCAACAAUAACUGCAUCUGAGAAUUAUAGUUCUACAGUAACCGUGGAGUCUAGGUCAACAAUUACUAUUUCUCAUCCAAGCCAUUUUUGUUUAACUGCUACACAUUCCCUGACUCUGCCAAGGAAAAGGGUAAAAUCAAAAUGAUAUCCUGAGGACCUAAGCACUGAUGAUUCCACCGUUUCAAGAGCUUAAUCACUUGUCACCAGAUUAUGGAAAAAAAAUAAAGAACAAAAAAUUAAAAUUCG